This 838-nucleotide ribosomal RNA is filed under the name Vuilleminia cystidiata. Its description in RNAcentral is "eukaryotic LSU rRNA". It matches the Rfam family "Eukaryotic large subunit ribosomal RNA", at positions 81 to 906 of the family's 3401-position model. Lineage: Eukaryota; Fungi; Basidiomycota; Agaricomycetes; Corticiales; Vuilleminiaceae. The record is from RNAcentral.
UAGUAACUGCGAGUGAAGCGGGAAAAGCUCAAAUUUAAAAUCUGGCGGUCUUUGGCCGUCCGAGUUGUAAUCUAGAGAAGCGUCUUCCGUGCCGGACCGUGUACAAGUCUCUUGGAACAGAGUAUCAUAGAGGGUGAGAAUCCCGUCUUUGACAUGGACUACCGGUGCUUUGUGAUGCGCUCUCAAAGAGUCGCGUUGUUUGGGAAUGCAGCGCAAAAUGGGUGGUGAAUUCCAUCUAAAGCUAAAUAUUGGCGAGAGACCGAUAGCGAACAAGUACCGUGAGGGAAAGAUGAAAAGCACUUUGGAAAGAGAGUUAAACAGUACGUGAAAUUGUUGAAAGGGAAACGCUUGAAGUCAGUCGCGUCUGGCGGAACUCAGCCUUGCUUUUGCUUGGUGCACUUUCCGUUUGACGGGCCAGCAUCGAUUUUGGCCGCCGGAUAAAGUUCAGGGGAAUGUGGCACCUUCGGGUGUGUUAUAGCCUUUGUUYGCAUACGGCGGCUGGGAUCGAGGUUCGCAGCACGCCUUUUGGCCGGGGUUCGCCCACGUACGUGCUUAGGAUGCUGGCGUAAUGGCUUUAAACGACCCGUCUUGAAACACGGACCAAGGAGUCUAACAUGCCCGCGAGUGUUUGGGUGGAAAACCCAUGCGCGUAAUGAAAGUGAAAGUUGAGACCUCUGUCGUGGAGGGCAUCGACGCCCGGUCUUGAGCUUCGGCGACAGAUCUGCGGUAGAGCGUGUAUGUUGGGACCCGAAAGAUGGUGAACUAUGCCUGAAUAGGGUGAAGCCAGAGGAAACUCUGGUGGAGGCUCGUAGCGAUUCUGACGUGCAAAUCGAUCGUC